AGUGUACCCAGGCGCGGUGCCUGCUGGGAAUUGUAGUUGACGUUGGUCAGCACGGAGGCCACAGGAUCCCAGCCCGGCCUUUGUGGGACUGAGGUGGCGCUGAGUGGGAGAGCAGCAGGCGAUGCGCGAAAGGCGGGACUUGGAGAUAAAUACUGAGCACCCACAACAGGCAGCCAGCACCACUGCAGAUUGGAUACUGCAAUGAUGAUAAGCAUGGCCUGCCUUUAUGGAGAAAGCCAACAAAAUCAUUUGUGACCCUGGUUUCUUUCAGUUCAAGGCAUGUGGUGAUCAUGCUGCCUAAGAGUAUCUUUGUUUACCUGAGGACCUUGGGCCAUGCCAAGUAUUUGUCAACAAUGUGAUUUAUGGUUCUGGAUGUUCCUGUGGAUAACCUCAAGGAGCACGGGACCUGGGACAUGACUGCCCCCAGCAUUCCUUCUGGCGGCAGACAGAGUUUGUCAGUUCGCCAACAUCCUGCUUUCAUGAGAACAGUUUGCUGUUUGCUCACAGAGCCUCCAGUGGUAUACUGAGUUGGUCACGACCCUCAUUCCUUCGGCCUCCAACAUCUCCCCUUUUGUUUUUGCAUUAAUUGAAUAAAGGUAAUUUCAGGCUGUGCA
This 614-nucleotide long non-coding RNA is filed under the name Homo sapiens (human). RNAcentral describes it as "HSALNT0399014". The record is from RNAcentral. Lineage: Eukaryota; Metazoa; Chordata; Mammalia; Primates; Hominidae.